This is a long non-coding RNA of Musa acuminata AAA Group (dessert banana), 500 nucleotides long. RefSeq lists it as uncharacterized. The record is from RefSeq and is a predicted model, not a curated record. NCBI's taxonomy places the organism in Eukaryota, Viridiplantae, Streptophyta, Magnoliopsida, Zingiberales, Musaceae. The transcript is spliced from 2 exons.
CCCCAACGAGACGACGACUGGAUCUCCGUCGGUCUUCCCCCAAAGAGAACGAGACGACGACUGGCUCUCGUCGUCGCCCGACCGCGGUGCCGAACGACAAUGGUGCACAAAUUACAGUGAAGUUGGUAGACUUCAGGAGCUACUAGGCAAUGAACUAUCCUAAAACGGUGCUUCAUCUAGGUGUGACCCAAGAGUGGGUGGAUGAAGGUUAAUUGCCAAAGGAGCGAACAAAAUCGAAGGUGGAAGAGACCCUGCGAUGUAUUGGCAGAGGCCAUAUAUGGAGGGUUCACAAUUCGAGUUCAUCCCACAAGGAUCAAAAUGCAAUAGAGAUGUCACCAGGAGACGACAUGGUACAACGGAUCGUGGUGGAACAGUUCGUGGGAAUGCGAUACAUACGACGUAGUCCUGUGAGGGAUAAUGACAUAUUAAGAAAAAUACAUAUGUUUGAUUUCAUUGUAUUAUACUAUCAUUAUAUGUAAAUAUUUUUUUUAUUUUUAUAA